GAUGAACGCUGGCGGCGUGCCUAAUACAUGCAAGUCGAGCGAACGGACGAGAAGCUUGCUUUUCUGAUGUUAGCGGCGGACGGGUGAGUAACACGUGGAUAACCUACCUAUAAGACUUGGAUAACUUCGGGAAACCGGAGCUAAUACCGGAUAAUAUUUUGAACCGCAUGGUUCAAAAGUGAAAGACGGUCUUGCUGUCACUUAUAGAUGGAUCCGCGCUGCAUUAGCUAGUUGGUAAGGUAACGGCUUACCAAGGCAACGAUGCAUAGCCGACCUGAGAGGGUGAUCGGCCACACUGGAACUGAGACACGGUCCAGACUCCUACGGGAGGCAGCAGUAGGGAAUAUUCCGCAAUGGGCGAAAGCCUGACGGAGCAACGCCGCGUGAGUGAUGAAGGUCUUCGGCUCGUAAAACUCUGUUAUUAGGGAAGAACAUAUGUGUAAGUAACUGUGCACAUCUUGACGGUACCUAAUCAGAAAGCCACGGCUAACUACGUG
RNAcentral lists this ribosomal RNA (497 nucleotides) under uncultured bacterium. RNAcentral's name for it is "partial 16S ribosomal RNA". It matches the Rfam family "Bacterial small subunit ribosomal RNA", at positions 28 to 507 of the family's 1533-position model. The record is from RNAcentral.